AUUGGGUGAAUAUUGCUGGGCAAUAUUCGAGCCUUUUGCCGAAAAUUUUUUGUACGCCGCUCGGCGGCGGCAAUACAAGGGAUGACGGUUGGAAACUUCGAUGCACGAGACAGGCGACGAGUGGCUCGGGGCUCGCCGUUGUGCUGCGCUAGACCAUUUGCCGCCGUUUGCGUCGCAUCGCUUCGAGAUUCCGAGACCACGCCCGCUGCCUCUCUGUAACGGUCCCUCCGGCGCGGUCUUGGACACCUGCACGGGGGGCCACUGCUGCUGGAAGGAAUCGCGCGGUCGGACCCGCAGAGAGCCGGCGACGAUACCGCUGUGAGCAGCGGCAAGGAGCUUCAUAUACCUUCUGUUUUGCGUUUUUCCGGCGGGGCUUUUGCAUACGGAAUCCGGGGUGACCGUGAAUGGGAUUCAGCUGGCUAGGAAGUGUGACAUCUGGAGACGUCGCGAUCCUCCUCCGGCGUGGCUCCGAGAGCGAUGGCGACGGGUUGAGAAACCAGUUGCAGCGGCGGCUGCAAACCCUAGAGGUUUCGGGACAUUGGGCUGGGCCUGUUGUCUGCUGCUGGGUCACCUUAUUUGGGCUAAUGGGCUGCUGCCUAUUAUAAUAAGGCUGGGCUUGCGAAAAUUUUAAAUAAAUGGCCCAAAAAUUGGGCUAAGUAAGUUUGAUUAAAAAAAAAAGUUCUGUU
This 686-nucleotide long non-coding RNA is filed under the name Salvia miltiorrhiza (redroot sage). Its description in RNAcentral is "long non-coding RNA (SMIL_LNC013410)". The record is from RNAcentral. Lineage: Eukaryota; Viridiplantae; Streptophyta; Magnoliopsida; Lamiales; Lamiaceae.